This 254-nucleotide ribosomal RNA is filed under the name uncultured bacterium. RNAcentral describes it as "partial 16S ribosomal RNA". It matches the Rfam family "Bacterial small subunit ribosomal RNA", at positions 524 to 776 of the family's 1533-position model. The record is from RNAcentral.
UACAGAGGGUGCGAGCGUUAAUCGGAAUUACUGGGCGUAAAGCGCGCGUAGGCGGCUCUUCAAGUCAGACGUGAAAGCCCCGGGCUUAACUCGGGAACUGCGUUUGAUACUGUCGAGCUAGAGUGUGGAAGGGGCGAUUGGAAUUCCGUGUGUAGCGGUGAAAUGCGUAGAUAUCUGGAGGAACACCGGUGGCGAAGGCGGCAUCCUGGACCAACACUGACGCUGAGUGAGCGAAAGCCAGGGGAGCAAACGGG